CAACUAUAUAUAAAAGCAACCUGGAGAGACUUCGACAGCUCAGGUCACCACAACACCUGCAGCUGCCACUCGCUUUUCC
This 79-nucleotide small nucleolar RNA is filed under the name Castor canadensis (American beaver). Its description in RNAcentral is "Small nucleolar RNA SNORA44 (ENSCCNG00000014701.1)". It matches the Rfam family "Small nucleolar RNA SNORA44", at positions 46 to 124 of the family's 131-position model. Rfam says of the family: ACA44 is a member of the H/ACA class of snoRNA that guide the sites of modification of uridines to pseudouridines. Lineage: Eukaryota; Metazoa; Chordata; Mammalia; Rodentia; Castoridae. The record is from RNAcentral.